RNAcentral lists this ribosomal RNA (255 nucleotides) under uncultured bacterium. Its description in RNAcentral is "partial 16S ribosomal RNA". It matches the Rfam family "Bacterial small subunit ribosomal RNA", at positions 524 to 776 of the family's 1533-position model. The record is from RNAcentral.
UACGGGGGGGGGCAAGCGUUGUUCGGAAUUACUGGGCGUAAAGGGCUCGUAGGCGGCCAACUAAGUCAGACGUGAAAUCCCUCGGCUUAACCGGGGAACUGCGUCUGAUACUGGAUGGCUUGAAUCCGGGAGAGGGAUGUGGAAUUCCAGGUGUAGCGGUGAAAUGCGUAGAUAUCUGGAGGAACACCGGUGGCGAAGGCGGCAUCCUGGACCGGUAUUGACGCUGAGUGAGCGAAAGCCAGGGGAGCAAACGGG